Dreissena polymorpha is the source of this 390-nucleotide long non-coding RNA. RefSeq lists it as uncharacterized. The transcript is spliced from 3 exons. NCBI's taxonomy places the organism in Eukaryota, Metazoa, Mollusca, Bivalvia, Myida, Dreissenidae. The record is from RefSeq and is a predicted model, not a curated record.
ACUGAAUAUUCAGAAUCCUACGAGUAACGACAAAGAUACGAGAUGCACACCAAACAGCUGAUGUGUUUGUUGGUGGUGGCCGCUGUGCUUCUGGCGAGUGCUCCGGUAGCAAACGCCACAUACAGAUAUGGCGGAUCGAGCGACUCUAGUGACAGUGACGAUUAUAAUGGCGGAUGGGGACGCCCUGCCGGAUGGAGACGCGGUUUGGGACGCAAAUGGGGUGGCAAUGGUGGAUACGGAGGCACCUAUUAUGGAAAAUAAAUAUGGCGUAGUUUUUCUUAAAGAAAAGCGCAUCCUCCUUGACAAUAAUGGGUUACACAUACAACAACCACGUGGUUGACUUUCAAUUGUUGUUGUAAAAAACUAUACAUAAACUAAGUUGCAAAUCGA